AAGGUGGGGAUGACGUCAAAUCAUCAUGCCCCUUAUGACCUGGGCUACACACGUGCUACAAUGGAUGGUACAAAGGGUAGCGAAGCCGCGAGGUGGAGCCAAUCCCAUAAAACCAUUCUCAGUUCGGAUUGUAGGCUGCAACUCGCCUACAUGAAGCCGGAAUCGCUAGUAAUCGCGGAUCAGCAUGCCGCGGUGAAUACGUUCCCGGGCCUUGUACACACCGCCCGUCACACCACGAGAGUUUGUAACACCCGAAGUCGGUAGGGUAACGCUUAGGCGAGCCAGCCGCCGAAGGUGGGACAGAUAAUUGGGGUGAAGUCGUAACAAGGUAGCCGUAUCGGAAGGUGCGGCUGGAUCACCUCCUUUCUAAGGAA
Molecule: ribosomal RNA, 374 nt
Rfam family: Bacterial small subunit ribosomal RNA